UACGGAGGAUGCGAGCGUUAUCCGGAUUUAUUGGGUUUAAAGGGUGCGUAGGCGGAAUAUCAAGUCAGCGGUAAAAAUUCGGGGCCCAACCCCGUCGUGCCGUUGAAACUGAUGUUCUUGAGUGGGCGAGAAGUAUGCGGAAUGCGUGGUGUAGCGGUGAAAUGCAUAGAUAUCACGCAGAACUCCGAUUGCGAAGGCAGCAUACCGGCGCCCAACUGACGCUGAAGCACGAAAGCGUGGGUAUCGAACAGG
RNAcentral lists this ribosomal RNA (252 nucleotides) under uncultured bacterium. RNAcentral's name for it is "partial 16S ribosomal RNA". It matches the Rfam family "Bacterial small subunit ribosomal RNA", at positions 524 to 776 of the family's 1533-position model. The record is from RNAcentral.